UACGUAGGUGGCAAGCGUUGUCCGGAUUUACUGGGCGUAAAGGGCGUGCAGGCGGUUUGUUAAGUUCAGGGUGAAAGCUCCCGGCUCAACUGGGAGAGGUCCUUGGAUACUGGCAGACUUGAGGAGGGUAGAGGAGAGUGGAAUUCCAGGUGUAGCGGUGAAAUGCGUAGAUAUCUGGAGGAACACCGGUGGCGAAGGCGGCAUCCUGGACCGGCAUUGACGCUGAGGCGCGAAAGCUAGGGGAGCAAACGGG
This 253-nucleotide ribosomal RNA is filed under the name uncultured bacterium. RNAcentral describes it as "partial 16S ribosomal RNA". It matches the Rfam family "Bacterial small subunit ribosomal RNA", at positions 524 to 776 of the family's 1533-position model. The record is from RNAcentral.